UCCUGACAGCAUCUGUUAAAAGUCACUGGUGCCAGUUAAUAAGAGACCCACCAGGCAGGAGGGACCCUAAGACUCUGGGGGAAGGAGAGAGCGAAGCGCUGUCUGGACGACAUCACUGGAGGUAGGGGGUGGGCUUUAUAAAUCUCUCCAGCAGCAAUAUUUAAACCCGAAAUUCUGUCCUUAGAGCUGGCGUUGCAGGACGGUGAAGGGCGCGCAGAGCCCCGCUCCACGCCUUUAGUGCGGAUCAAAGAAAGGGGGAUGGGCGGAAACUCAGAAUCCUGGGGGGGAGUAGUCAGAAUUUCUCCUCAGGGAAGCCUCUUGUGAAAAUGCAAGGACGUCUCCGCUCCUCUUUUCAAUUAUGUAACUCUUACACAUUUGGGAGAAUACGCAUGAACAUAAAUUUAAUUACUUAUGAAACUAGAAAGUCUCCAAAUAGGCUGCAUUUAAAGCUCUGGGGGCUUCUGAAGUCUUACUAGACCUGGUUGCCACCUGGCAGCGUUAGAGGAUGUCAUCCUAGGGAUUGGACUCCCACCCACCCCUCCCUGGUACCCACAGCGCGGGCAGCCGGGUCGCCGCUAGGGUAUGGGGCCCUCUCGGCACGGCAGGAUCGGCGCGCACCCACCGCCGCGUCGCCAGGACCAGCAAGUCCGCAGGCGGCGGGGCGAGCUGUCCCCUCCCCCCACCACCGCGAACACCUGGCCCGCGGUUACCUGCGGGACCGCGACUCUCCGCAGCCCACUGGCCGGCUCCCCGGCGCCCCUGCCUUUGGCUGCGGGGAGAUGCCCGAGCCCGGGCGCCCGCGCCGCGCCCUCCGCGGGGCCAGCACAGGGCUCGCCGGGGCCUUCAUCCGGCGCGGGGAAGAGCCCGCAGCGGCGCUGGAAGCGGGCGACGAGCUGGGAAUCCUGCAGGCUCCAGAGCAGCUCGGCCAUGGUGAUCCCGGGGCCGCCGCCGCCACCACCACCCGGUGCCCCCCGCUCGCACCGUCCCUCCUGCCUUCGCCCUCGCCGGGCCGGGCGCUCGGGGUGGCGGGCGGGGCCCGGGGCGCCAGCCAACAGGUGCGCCGCUCGGGUCCUAGCGCCCGCCCCGCGCACGCGGACGUCCAGGUGUUCGCCUUGACCUUGCGCCAGGCACGUCCGCCCUCUUUUCCUUCCCGGCGGGCCCGGGCAGGCUCGGGCGAUCCCCGGCGUCCGGCCCGCUCGGAACUGGGCGAAAGGGUACAGGUGUCUACACCGCGCCUCUCUGCGCCCGAGCGCGCCUCCUCCACCCCUCCCGGCUGGUGCAGAAGUGCUACCUAAUGGGGAGCGGCCGAGCACGUGUGGGCCUGCACCUUUAGACCCGAAGAGAACAAGGUGUUGAAGGACCGCGAGGAGGUUGACUUCUCCCCACACCUGCACCUGCUUUAGGGAUCUCAGCAGAACAGCAAAGAAAACAUCCUGCUGGUCGACCUUGGUUUUCCCUCCUCCCUCCUGAAUCUUCUAGCGGCACGGCACUUCCUCACAGGGAGUGAAAGGCAACAGUCAAAUUAGGCCCAGAUGACCUGCUUGCAACGAAAGUGCAACUCAAUCCUUCUGUCUUCAGUCUGCAGCUGAAGGCUGAGCAUUUCCUGGUGGCCCAGGAUAAAUGUCAUCAUUGUCAAAGUUCUGGCCAAUGGGAAGUAUUACAUUCUUCUUUAUUCCUGCUCCCUGCAAUGCAGAGGUGAUAGCUGGAGUUCUAACAGCAAUUUUGAACCAAGAGGUGACAAAGAAGAUAGAAGUUAUUCACUGGGGAUGACAGGGCAGACAAAUAUUGCCCAGGUCUCUGUGGACCCUGUGGAUCCAGCAUACCACAGUCCCAGUCUAUGUGUGGAUUUCUUUUGCAAGUGAGCAUAAACUCUGUGCUUAUAAGACACUUUUAUGUUGGGUUCUCUA
Lagenorhynchus albirostris (white-beaked dolphin) is the source of this 1907-nucleotide long non-coding RNA. RefSeq lists it as uncharacterized. The record is from RefSeq and is a predicted model, not a curated record. NCBI's taxonomy places the organism in Eukaryota, Metazoa, Chordata, Mammalia, Artiodactyla, Delphinidae. The transcript has 3 exons.